This 454-nucleotide small RNA is filed under the name Camellia sinensis. RNAcentral describes it as "transcribed RNA". The record is from RNAcentral. Lineage: Eukaryota; Viridiplantae; Streptophyta; Magnoliopsida; Ericales; Theaceae.
CCCCCGUAGUACACAAAUUUUUGCUCCCACCAGCAAUUCCACAUUUGGCCUAAUCUGACCCGUUGACGCAAUGUAGCCACUCGGAUUGUACACCUCCUCAGCAAAGCUCCCCAAUUCCUUAGUCCCUGAAUCCAUUGUACCAUUUUCCUCCGAAAUCAUCCCUAUUCUGUCUUCGACAGCCACCACCAUUGGUUCGAGUUGGGUUCAGGAGAUGUCCACCAUGCACAAGUCAGUGCUGUUAGGAUGGAACACCUCCAGCUUGGGUAGAUAAGAUGGGGUGUGUAACAACCCACAUUUAUGGCUUAGUCGUGUUUGCAUGCAUUUAUAUGUUUUGCCAUGUUAAGUUGCUGUAACAACCCAUAUUCAUGUCAUAGUCAUAUUCAUGUUCAUUUACAUAACUUUGUCUUGAUAAGUUUACAUUCAUGAAUCUUGUCUUGUUUUGUAUUCAUGUGAC